GACUGGCUCAGCUGGCCAGAGUAUGGUGCUGAUGUUGCCAAGGUCAUGGGUUUGAUCCCCAUAUAGGUCA
RNAcentral lists this transfer RNA (70 nucleotides) under Manacus vitellinus (golden-collared manakin). It matches the Rfam family "tRNA". From Rfam's summary of the family: Transfer RNA (tRNA) molecules are approximately 80 nucleotides in length. Their secondary structure includes four short double-helical elements and three loops (D, anti-codon, and T loops). Lineage: Eukaryota; Metazoa; Chordata; Aves; Passeriformes; Pipridae. The record is from Rfam by way of RNAcentral.